CGAGCACGCGCGUGUGGCAUAUCAAUAAGCGGAGGAAAAGAAACUAACAAGGAUUCCCUCAGUAACGGCGAGUGAAGCGGGAAGAGCUCAAAUUUGAAAUCUUAAAGGUUCACCUUGCACGAAUUGUAGUUUAAAGAAGUGUUUUCUGUUAGAGAGGUGGUAAAAGUUCUUUGGAAUAGGACAUCAUAGAGGGUGAGAAUCCCGUAUUUGACCAUUAUUUCCAGCUGUGUGAUACGCUUUCAAAGAGUCGGAUUAUUUGGGAAUGCAGUCCAAAAUGGGUGGUAAAUUUCAUCUAAAGCUAAAUAUUGGCGAGAGUCCGAUAGCGAACAAGUACCGUGAGGGAAAGAUGAAAAGAACUUUGAAAAGAGAGUUAAACAGUACGUGAAAUUGUCAAAAGGGAAGCGUUUGACACCAGUGUUGUUUUUCCGAAAAUCAAUUAAGGAUGGCUGGAUUUUAAGUUUCAUGACCUUAAAAGCUUGUUGCUUAUUUUUCCGGUCUUUCUUAAUGCACUUUUCGGUUAACAAGUCAACAUCAAUUUCUUUUGUUGUAAAAGGUUAAGAGGAAGGUGGCUUUACUUUCGGGUAAAGUGUUUAUAGCCUUUUAACUCUGCAAUCGGAGAGAUUGAGGUCUGCAGCGUAGAUCCUUCGGGGCUAGAUACGUUUGUGCUAAGUUAUAGCUUUUCAUAGACAACUUGUUGACUAUGUUUAGUCUUGUAGCUUACUCGCUGACGCUAUUUUACCUACGCUUAGGAUGUUGAUGUGAUACUGCGAGCA
RNAcentral lists this ribosomal RNA (773 nucleotides) under uncultured Neocallimastigales. Its description in RNAcentral is "partial large subunit ribosomal RNA". It matches the Rfam family "Eukaryotic large subunit ribosomal RNA", at positions 19 to 640 of the family's 3401-position model. The record is from RNAcentral. Lineage: Eukaryota; Fungi; Neocallimastigomycota; Neocallimastigomycetes; Neocallimastigales.